CUAUGUUUUUAUAACAAAACAUGGCGGAAGGAG
RNAcentral lists this non-coding RNA (33 nucleotides) under unclassified sequences. RNAcentral's name for it is "L31-Firmicutes ribosomal protein leader". It matches the Rfam family "L31-Firmicutes ribosomal protein leader". The record is from RNAcentral.